AACUUAGAAGCUUUUUAGAAGCAUUAGAUUUUUGAUCUAAAGAAGGGGAAUUUACCUUAAGUUU
RNAcentral lists this transfer RNA (64 nucleotides) under Brueelia nebulosa. Its description in RNAcentral is "tRNA-Lys". The record is from RNAcentral. Lineage: Eukaryota; Metazoa; Arthropoda; Insecta; Psocodea; Philopteridae.